UCAGUUGAGUGGCAUAGGUAGGAGUGUUUAUGUAAUAGAGUUAUUCAUAUUGGGCUGAGAAAACUUACACUUGUUUGAACUGCUUUCUGGGAAGAGAGAAAAGAAGGGGAGGGAAGCCCCUGUCGGCUAGAAACUGACUGAACAAGAGCAAAGGUAUGAUUAUAGGACCUCUAUUCCAUCUAAUGGUACACUAAAAAAAGAUAACAAGUUUCUAAAAACAAUUCUGAUCUUGGAGUCAAGUUUAGUUACUUGGAGAUGAGGAACUGGAAUAAAUGAGAACAAACUCAGGAAAGAUGAGACAGCAGAGAGCAGACAGUUUAGAAAGAAGAAAACAUUUUCACUUUGUUUCCUUGCGGGGCUUCCAUCAGGAAUCACUAUGCCUAUUUCAUCUUCUGAUUGGUUGGAUUGCAAUUAAAUGGUGGUGCCUAUCUUAAACCCCUGAAUCAAGCAUUGAAAGACUUUCGAGAUGGACUUUUGAAAGAGUUUUUGAGGGAAUUGUAAUGCUGACUGUACUGACCUGCAGAAGAUGCUGUGACUGGAUCUGGAAGGUGGAUACUGUUCCCUCCGGACAGCUGCCAACGCAAGAAUACGACCAUAAAACAAAGGGAAAUCAAAGAUCUGUACAGGGAAAGUUAAGACACUUUGAAGUGAACUAUGUUGCCUUCUGCUGUAAGGUUUCAGGUGAUGGCUUUAAAGUUUAAAGGGACCAGCAUCACUCUUUGAUUCUGUGCUGGGAAGCUGAGCUCAGCACACCUCUCUCUUGGGUAACAGGGUAUACUUACUCCCCAACAUGGAGCCACUGGGAGAUUGCACAGCCACUGCUGAAACAGGAGGUGGUGUUAAUUUUGAAAAUGAUCCAUGCUGUAAUGUCAUGAACCAGGAAGCUGGAAUCCUUCACCAGCUCUUCAUGCAAAUAUUUGGCUGCAGCUUGAGCUAAAGGACUUGGAAGGAGUGGGUUUUAAAAACUCUGCUUCAUUGAAGAGCUCUCAUUAACCCCAUUCCUCCCCCGGAAUGGUCUGUUUGUCUGCCUCCCCACCUUAUCUCCCUCAGCUUCUUAGAGGUGUGCUUCAACCAUUGAGCAAGUUGGCGAUCAUCUCUGUUAAACCGGAAGAGUCUACACCAAGAAGCAGGCAUACAUUAUCCCCUGGUGUCUGCCAUCCUUGCCUACUGAGCAUACCUUCACAACUUUCCUGGAAUUCCAGGUCCUUCUGAUGGUUCCCAGGAGGGAUUUUACAUCUGGCUCCUGUAAUUAAAUCAUCUCUCUGCGUUCCUCCUCCUGCCGGUGAGGGCAAGGGUGGAUAUAAUAUUCAAGGAAGCAAAGGAGAGAGCAAGCUUUGCUCUGCAAGGCACUGGUUUGGUAGUACUGCUUUAUUAUAUUUCUUGGGGGCGAAUUCAGAAAAACUGAGAUAAGUCAAAUCUCCCUAGGGAACAGAUACUGGUCAGAUACACAAGUGAAAUAUUUAACCCUUGCCUUCCUUCCUGCAGCUAGCUAUCAGGGGAACAGUGACCAAACCAACCUGUAAGAGGCCAGCAGCAAUAAAAUCGCCAUGCCCAGUGAGACUUCUCCAGCCACAGCUGAAGCAGAAUUCUACCAUGUACCAAAGCUCCAUAAUGAAAGAUUACAUUCUGUUAUGAACAUCUUGAUGAUUUUUUUUUCUCCAGAAGCAUUUCCCAGUUCCUGGUUUUAUUAAUUUUAUAAUUAUCUCUGAAUUGAAGGGGUUGAUGGUUGAGGCUACCAGACUCCUGCUCAGCACAGCUGGAUCUGCAGAAAGGUGAAUUUAGGGAGCCAAUAGGUGGGGAGUUUUUUGUAUUAAGAAUAAGACCUUGGUUGUACUUUUAACUCUACCGUCAGUAACUGCAAGGCUUUGAACUUCAGCUGUAAUAGAGGCAUACAGAUCCUUGACCUUACUUACCUCCCCUGAUUAUUAUAAGAACUAAAUGAAAUAAUGAAUGUGCAAAAAUGCUUUAAAAGAACCACUGUAAAAUCCUCUACAAGUUGAAGUUUUUUUGUUAGCUGAAAUUCUGCAUAUGGAGGUACUAACUUCUCCAGCAAAUGUAAAAUUUGUGCUGUUUGUACACUCUUCACAGCAAGCUCACACCUGAACUCUAAACUCUGAGCAAAGGGUGUGGAUGAACAUUACUGAAUAGCUGGCUUUCAAGCUUUGGUUGUAAUUUUAUUGUAGUUGUUUCUCACAAAUAAUAAUGAUAACUAACAUUAACUGAGCACUUAAUAUGUGGAAAGCACUCUUCUAAGUGCUUUAUA
Molecule: long non-coding RNA, 2263 nt
Organism: Hipposideros armiger (great roundleaf bat)
Lineage: Eukaryota; Metazoa; Chordata; Mammalia; Chiroptera; Hipposideridae
Exons: 3
Source: RefSeq, a predicted model, not a curated record